This is a non-coding RNA of Enterococcus rotai, 133 nucleotides long. The record is from Rfam. Lineage: Bacteria; Bacillati; Bacillota; Bacilli; Lactobacillales; Enterococcaceae.
AAAUGAAAGCAGAAGCACCCGCUUCUCGCCUUAGUUGACAGUGUCACUGGGCUGGAUAUUGGAUUCUUUAUAUCGAUUGAUAUGAGUCCGAAAAUCGCGGGAUCUGUAUACAGAGCCUGUUUUUUAUUGUGUU